Molecule: transfer RNA, 90 nt
Filed under: Mesorhizobium loti
Lineage: Bacteria; Pseudomonadati; Pseudomonadota; Alphaproteobacteria; Hyphomicrobiales; Phyllobacteriaceae
Also listed under: 71 other names
Description: tRNA-Ser
Rfam family: tRNA
About the family: Transfer RNA (tRNA) molecules are approximately 80 nucleotides in length. Their secondary structure includes four short double-helical elements and three loops (D, anti-codon, and T loops). Further hydrogen bonds mediate the characteristic L-shaped molecular structure. tRNAs have two regions of fundamental functional importance: the anti-codon, which is responsible for specific mRNA codon recognition, and the 3' end, to which the tRNAs corresponding amino acid is attached (by aminoacyl-tRNA synthetases). tRNAs cope with the degeneracy of the genetic code in two manners: having more than one tRNA (with a specific anti-codon) for a particular amino acid; and 'wobble' base-pairing, i.e. permitting non-standard base-pairing at the 3rd anti-codon position.
Source: RNAcentral
GGACAGGUGGCCGAGUGGUUUAAGGCUCUGGUCUUGAAAACCAGCGUACGGGAAACCGUACCGUGGGUUCGAAUCCCACCCUGUCCGCCA